This 496-nucleotide ribosomal RNA is filed under the name uncultured bacterium. Its description in RNAcentral is "partial 16S ribosomal RNA". It matches the Rfam family "Bacterial small subunit ribosomal RNA", at positions 29 to 506 of the family's 1533-position model. The record is from RNAcentral.
AGUGAACGCUGGCGGCAGGCCUAACACAUGCAAGUCGAACGGCAGCACGGCAGUAGCAAUACUGUGGGUGGCGAGUGGCGGACGGGUGAGGAAUACAUCGGGAUCUACCCUGUUGUGGGGGAUAACGUAGGGAAACUUACGCUAAUACCGCAUAAGAACUGAGGUUGAAAGCGGCGGACCGCAAGGCGUCGCGCGAUUGGAUGAACCGAUGUCCGAUUAGCUAGUUGGCGGGGUAAAGGCCCACCAAGGCGACGAUCGGUAGCUGGUCUGAGAGGACGACCAGCCACACUGGAACUGAGACACGGUCUAGACUCCUACGGGAGGCAGCAGUGGGGAAUAUUGGACAAUGGGGCGAAAGCCUGAUCCAGCCAUGCCGCGUGAGUGAAGAAGGCCUUCGGGUUGUUAAGACGUCUUUCAGGUGGAAGAAAACGACGAUAGGUUAAUACCUUGUGUCGGAGUGACGGUACCAUCAGAAGAAGACACCGGCUAACUACGU